This 497-nucleotide ribosomal RNA is filed under the name uncultured bacterium. Its description in RNAcentral is "partial 16S ribosomal RNA". It matches the Rfam family "Bacterial small subunit ribosomal RNA", at positions 28 to 507 of the family's 1533-position model. The record is from RNAcentral.
GAUGAACGCUGGCGGCGUGCCUAAUACAUGCAAGUCGAGCGAACAGACGAGGAGCUUGCUCCUCUGACGUUAGCGGCGGACGGGUGAGUAACACGUGGAUAACCUACCUAUAAGACUGGGAUAACUUCGGGAAACCGGAGCUAAUACCGGAUAAUAUAUUGAACCGCAUGGUUCAAUAGUGAAAGACGGUUUUGCUGUCACUUAUAGAUGGAUCCGCGCCGCAUUAGCUAGUUGGUAAGGUAGCGGCUUACCAAGGCAACGAUGCGUAGCUGACCUGAGAGGGUGAUCGGCCACACUGGAACUGAGACACGGUCCAGACUCCUACGGGAGGCAGCAGUAGGGAAUCUUCCGCAAUGGGCGAAAGCCUGACGGAGCAACGCCGCGUGAGUGAUGAAGGUCUUCGGAUCGUAAAACUCUGUUAUUAGGGAAGAACAAAUGUGUAAGUAACUAUGCACGUCUUGACGGUACCUAAUCAGAAAGCCACGGCUAACUACGUG